GGAAGAGGAUCGGCGCCCGGUGGGCCGCACGGACUUCAAAUCCGAUGGGACGCGUGAGACGUGUCCGGUGGGUUCGACUCCCACCCUCUUCCGCCA
RNAcentral lists this transfer RNA (96 nucleotides) under Immundisolibacterales bacterium. Its description in RNAcentral is "tRNA-Sec". It matches the Rfam family "Selenocysteine transfer RNA". Lineage: Bacteria; Pseudomonadati; Pseudomonadota; Gammaproteobacteria; Immundisolibacterales. The record is from RNAcentral.